CCACCUCGGGGCGCAGCAGUGAGGAAUAUUGGUCAAUGGGCGCGAGCCUGAACCAGCCAAGUCGCGUGAGGGAUGACGGCCCUACGGGUUGUAAACCUCUUUUGUCGGGGAGCAAAUUCCGCCACGUGUGGCGGAGUCGAGAGUACCCGAAGAAAAAGCAUCGGCUAACUCCGUGCCAGCAGCCGCGGUAAUACGGAGGAUGCGAGCGUUAUCCGGAUUUAUUGGGUUUAAAGGGUGCGUAGGCGGACUGUCAAGUCAGCGGUAAAAUACGGGGGCUCAACCUCCGCCCGCCGUUGAAACUGACG
Molecule: ribosomal RNA, 305 nt
Filed under: uncultured bacterium
Lineage: Bacteria
Description: bacterial SSU rRNA
Rfam family: Bacterial small subunit ribosomal RNA
Source: RNAcentral